RNAcentral lists this long non-coding RNA (3035 nucleotides) under Salmo salar (Atlantic salmon). RNAcentral describes it as "lncRNA (ENSSSAG00000091964.1)". The record is from RNAcentral. Lineage: Eukaryota; Metazoa; Chordata; Actinopteri; Salmoniformes; Salmonidae.
CCUCGCUCUCUCUCUCCUCUCUCCCUCCUCUCUCUCUCUCUCUCCUCCUCUCUCUCUCCUCUCUCCUCCCUCUCCUCUCUCUCUCCCUCGCUCUCUCUCUCCUCUCUCCUCCUCCUCUCUCCUCCUCCUCUCUCCUCUCUCUCUCCCUCUCUCUCGCUCUCUCUCCUCUCUCUCCUCACCUCUCUCUCCUCUCUCUCCCUCCCUCCAUAGAAAUGCUGGGCCGGGUUGAAGGCACAUGUUCAUAUCUCAGAAUCUCCCUGCCCUCUUUUCCACAGACGCCUGCUUCACAUGGUGAGGCAGGACAGAGGGAGAGAGGGAGGACAGAGAGGGAGAGGGGCAGGACAGAGAUGGAAAGAGGCAGGACAGAGAGGGAGGGAGGCAGGACAGAGAGGCAGGAUAGAGAGGAAGAGAGGCGGGAGAGAGGCAGGACAGAGAGGAGAGAGGGAGAGGAAGGACAGAGAGGGAGAGAGGCAGGACAGAGAGGGAGAGAGGCAGGACACAGAAGGAGGGAGGCAGGACAGGGAGAGAGAGAGGCAGGACGGGGAGAGAGAGAGAGAGGCAGAGAGGCAGGACAGAGAGGGAGAGAUGCAGGACAGAGAGGGAGAGGGGCAGGACAGAGAGGAAGAGAGACAGGACAGAGAGGGAAAGAGGCAGGACAGAGAGAGAGAGAGGCAGGACAGAGAGGGAGAGAGGGAGAGAGGCAGGACAGAGAGGGAGAGAGGCAGGACAGAGAGGGAGAGAGGCAGGACAGAGAGGGAGAGAGGCAGGACAGAGGGGGGAGAGAGGCAGGACAGAGGGGGGAGAGAGGCAGGAUAGAGGGGGGAGAGAGAGGACAGAGAGGGGAGAGGCAGGAUAGGGAGAGAGAGAGAGGCAGGACAGAGAGGGAGAGAGGCAGGGAUAGAGAGGGGAGAGAGAGGACAGAGGGAGAGAGGCAGGAUAGAGAGGGGAGAGAGAGGACAGAGAGGGGAGAGAGAGGACAGAGAGGAGAGAGGCAGGAUAGAGAGGGGAGAGAGAGGACAGAGAGGGAGAGAGGCAGGGAUAGAGAGGGGAGAGAGAGGACAGAGAGGGAGAGAGGCAGGAUAGAGAGGGAGAGAGGCAGGAUAGAGAGGGGAGAGAGAGGAUAGAGAGGGGAGAGAGAGGAUAGAGAGGGGAGAGAGAGGACAGAGAGGGGAGAGAGAGGACAGAGAGAGAGGGGAGAGAGAGGACAGAGAUGAGAGAGGCAGGAUAUAGGGAGAGAGGCAGGACAGAGAAGGAGAGAGCAGGACAGAGAGGGGAGAGAGAGGACAGGGGGAGAGAGGACAGAGAGGAGAGAGAGGACAGAGAGAGAGGGGAGAGAGAGGACAGAGAUGAGAGAGGCAGGAUAUAGGGAGAGAGGCAGGACAGAGAAGGAGAGAGCAGGACAGAGAGGGGAGAGAGAGGACAGGGGGAGAGAGGACAGAGAGGAGAGAGGCAGGAUAGAGAGGGGAGAGAGAGGACAGAGAGGGGAGAGAGAGGACAGAGAGCGAGGGGAGAGAGAGGACAGAGAGGAGAGAGGCAGGGGAGAGAGAGGGGAGAGGCAGGAUAGAGAGGGGUGAGAGAACAGAGAGGGGAGAGGCAGGACAGAGAGAGAGAGAGAGGAGUAGAAUGGAGCAGAUCACAGUUGAAUGUUUAAUGACAGUGUGUUAGCUCCUGGAACGCUGCCAGCCCAACUAUGUCUGCCUGCCUGCCUGUGUGUCUACCCACCCGCCUGCAUUUCUGGGGCGGGCCAGGCUGAGUGUAGUCUAACAUGUGACUGGGGGUGUAUUUCAACAGGGUUAUGUAAUCUCCACGGAUGCCGCUCCCUCCCUCCCAGUCCCUCCCAGUCCCGUACAGCUGAGGCUGAGUAGGGCGGUCGGGAGGCAAAUGAUGCAGAAGAGGCGAACAGUAAAUGUAAUGUUCACAUGUGACAGGGGUCAUCCUGCCUGACUGGGAGAGAUUGUUACAUAAGUCUAAAUGGGCGGAUAGCUGGUGGAUAUUACACUAGUUAUUUAUGGGUGGUAGUUCCUUAUGGGUGGCCUUUCCUUAUGGGUGGUAUAGGGUGGUACUUCCUUAUUGUGGUAUAGGGUGGUAGUUCCUUAUGGGUGGUAUAGGGUGGUAGUUCUUUAUUGUGGUAUAGGGUGGUAGUUCCUUAUGGGUGGUACUUCCUUAUGGGUGGUACUUCCUUAUGGGUGGUAUAGGGUGGUACUUCCUUAUGGGUGGUACUUCCUUAUGGGUGGUCCUUCUUGUGGGUGGUAUAGGGUGGUAGUUCCUUAUGGGUGGUAGUUCCUUGUGUGUGGUAUAGGGUGGUAGUUCUUUAUGGGUGGUAGUUCCUUAUGGGUGGUAUGGGGUGGUACUUCCUUAUGGGUGGUACUUCCUUAUGGGUGGUAUAGGGUGGUAGUUCCUUAUUGUGGUAUAGGGUGGUAGUUCCUUAUGGGUGGUAUAGGGUGGUAGUUCCUUAUGGGUGGUACUUCCUUAUGGGUGGUCCUUCCUUAUGUGUGGUAUAGGGUUGUACUUCCUUAUGGGUGGUCCUUAUGGGUGGUCCUUCCUUGUGGGUGGUAGUUCCUUAUGGGUGGUUGUUCCUUGUGUGUGGUAUAGGGUGGUAUUCUUUAUGGGUGGUAGUUCUUUAUGGGUGGUAUAGGGUGGUUGUUCUUUAUGGGUGGUAGUUCUUUAUGGGUGGUAUAGGGUGGUAGUUCUUUAUGGGUGGUAGUUCCUUAUGUGUGGUAUAGGGUGGUAGUUCUUUAUGGGUGGCAGUUCUUUAUGGGUGGUAUAGGGUGGUAGUUCUUUAUGGGUGGUAUAGGGUGGUAGUUCCUUAUUUAUUUAUUUAUUUAUUUUCACCUUUAUUUAACCAGGUAGGCAAGUUGAGAACAAGUUCUCAUUUCAUCAUUUCUCAUUCUCAUCAAGUUCUCUUAUGGGUGGUAGUUCCUUAUGGGUGGUAGUUCCUUAUGGGUGGUACUUCCUUAUGUGUGGUGUAGUGUGGUACUUCCUUAUGGGUGGUAGUUCCCAAUGGGUGGUAUAGGGUUGCAGUUCAUUAUGGGUGG